AUCUAUAGCCGCUUUUCCACAGCAUGGUGCCGGCUCGACUCGACUUGACUCUACUCGCUUUUGGUACCAGGUACUUCGUUUUCCACUGCAGACAGUACCCCCGUCAAUGUAGCUGGUCGUCAUAGCGACGCCGCAUGAAACUGGCGUGACGUCAUCUUCAACGCGACGCACACAGGAACGACGGAGGAUAUCGAAGGGACGGUGUUCUUGAUUCUCGGUAUGUGGCUGUUUGUCGCAGCAAGGAGACAAAUUUUGUUUCAGAAGAGGCUGAAGGCAGCAAGACAAAAGACUGCUGAAAAAAAACAGGAGAGUUUGGGAAAUCCUACAUCAGAGCUCAGACGACGAGACGACUCUGGUUGCUCAAAGGCGACGAUUCUAGUGACGAUUCUCUCUGACCAAUCAGCGGUCUGCAGUGUUUUCACGUCACCUUUUGGUAUCGCCUCAGCUCGCUUGGAACCUCAACGGAGGUGAUACCAAAAAAACACGUAACCGUCCAGACCCACGGCGCAACUCACUUCCGC
Long non-coding RNA from Anguilla rostrata (American eel), 521 nucleotides. RefSeq lists it as uncharacterized. NCBI's taxonomy places the organism in Eukaryota, Metazoa, Chordata, Actinopteri, Anguilliformes, Anguillidae. The transcript has 3 exons. The record is from RefSeq and is a predicted model, not a curated record.